AGCACUGGAGGCCACCCAGUCAUGGGGGACACCUUCAUCCGUCACAUCGUCCUGCUGGGCUUUGAGAAGCGCUUCGUACCCAGCCAGCACUAUGUGUACAUGUUCCUGGUGAAAUGGCAGGACCUGUCAGAGAAGGUGGUCUACCGGCGCUUCACCGAGAUCUAUGAGUUCCAUAAAACCUUAAAAGAAAUGUUCCCUAUUGAGGCAGGGGCAAUCAAUGCAGAGAACAGGAUCAUCCCCCACCUCCCAGCUCCCAAGUGGUACGAUGGGCAACGGGCCGCCGAGAACCGCCAGGGCACGCUUACCGAGUACUGCAGCAUGCUCAUGAGCCUGCCCACCAAGAUCUCCCGCUGUCCCCACCUCCUCGACUUCUUCAAGGUGCGCCCCGAUGACCUCAAGCUCCCCACGGACAACCAGACAAAAAAGCCAGAGACAUACUUGAUGCCCAAAGAUAGCAAGAGUACCGCGACAGACAUCACUGGCCCCAUCAUCCUGCAGACGUACCGUGCCAUUGCCGACUAUGAGAAGACCUCGGGCUCCGAGAUGGCUCUGUCCGCGGGUGACGUGGUGGAGGUCGUGGAGAAGAGCGAGAGCGGUCAGACCUCCCACCCUACAGGGCUCCUUCCCCUGGUGCUCAGGAACCCACAGCCACAAGCCCCCUGCCAAGGCUUAGGCAGCCUGGCCCCUGGGAGGACUCCGGCUCCGUUAGGGGCCCUGAAUGUCUUCCCCACACUGCGGGUCACCCUCUCUCUGAGUGUGCACCCUGUGGUGGCUGUGGGCAUCUGUGCAUGGCAGGCCGGGGCGGGGCAUGUCUGCGUGUUCUGUCUGGAUGGGUAUGGGACCAUCUGCUCAUUAUGAAGUGGGCUCAGAGCUGUGAUUCUGUGAGCAUAUGUGCAUGCAUGCAUGUGACCUCAUUGUCCAGUGUGGUGAAGGUGACAUUUCCAAAUCUGAGCAUUGGACAUCAGUGUGUCUGUGUCCCUGUGUCCUCACCAUCCCUGAUGGCUGCAGGGAGCCGCUGGGCCCUGCCCCUCAGUCACAUUCCCACACCUCUGGCACAGGUUGGUGGUUCUGUCA
This 1074-nucleotide small RNA is filed under the name Pongo abelii (Sumatran orangutan). Its description in RNAcentral is "retained intron". Lineage: Eukaryota; Metazoa; Chordata; Mammalia; Primates; Hominidae. The record is from RNAcentral.